AUCCUUCUACAGGGGUGACCGUUCAUGUCAAUGAGGAGACAUCCGAGACUGAACAAUUGCUGAUUGCAAAAAACAAUCCUACCGUCGUUGUCACUUUGUGUCAACGCAAUUUCUGGAAACGCAACUUGAUUUGCC
RNAcentral lists this small nuclear RNA (135 nucleotides) under Tremella mesenterica. Its description in RNAcentral is "U4 spliceosomal RNA". It matches the Rfam family "U4 spliceosomal RNA". Rfam says of the family: U4 small nuclear RNA (U4 snRNA) is a component of the major U2-dependent spliceosome. RNAcentral also lists the same sequence under 1 other name. Lineage: Eukaryota; Fungi; Basidiomycota; Tremellomycetes; Tremellales; Tremellaceae. The record is from Rfam by way of RNAcentral.